This 1423-nucleotide ribosomal RNA is filed under the name Pseudopaludicola boliviana (Bolivian swamp frog). RNAcentral describes it as "partial 16S ribosomal RNA". It matches the Rfam family "Bacterial large subunit ribosomal RNA", at positions 394 to 2597 of the family's 2925-position model. Lineage: Eukaryota; Metazoa; Chordata; Amphibia; Anura; Leptodactylidae. The record is from RNAcentral.
GCCUCCAUUUUAGCCCUAACAUGUCGAAUGAAACACACUCUCUCCCCCUCACACAACUAAACCAUUCUAAAGAUUUAGUAAAGGCGAUUGAAAAAUUUUUUAGAGCUAUAAAUAAAGUACCGCAAGGGAAAAAUGAAAUAUUAGUGAAAUAAACCAAAGCAUAAAAAAGUAGAGUCUUACUCUCGUACCUUUUGCAUCAUGAUUUAACGAGUCCAAUCGAGCAAAAAGAUUUCUAGUUCGACUUCCCGAAACUAAGUGAGCUACUUAAGGACAGCUUUCUGAGCAAACUCGUCUCUGUGGCAAAAGAGUGAGAAGAUCUUUAAGUAGAGGUGACAGACCUACCGAACUUAGUAAUAGCUGGUUGCUUAAGAAAAGGAUUUUAGUCCCGCCUAAAUUUACAUCAGUAUCACUUUAUAGGCACUUAAAUUUAGAGUAAUUCAAAUAAGGUACAGCCUAUUUGAAACAGGAUACAACCUUACCUAAUGGGUUAAGACAUUAGUUAAUAACAAAGUGGGCCUAAAAGCAGCCAUCUUUAAAACAGCGUCAAAGCUUUCUUACUUAACUUAAAAAUUUCAUAAACUAUCCCAAACCCUUAUUUAGUAUUAAGCAAUUCUAUACUCAUAUAGAAAAUUUUAUGUUAAAACUAGUAACAAGAAUUUGAAAUUCUCUCAGACACAAGUGUAAGUCAGAACUGGACCAACCACUGACAAUUAACAUAUUUAGUAACUUUAGUAUCAACGCACCAAGAGAAACGUUCUUUGAACUAUGUUAACCUAACACUAGAGCGUCACAAGAAAGAUUAAAAGAAAAAGAAGGAACUCGGCAAAAUUUAACCCCGCCUGUUUACCAAAAACAUCGCCUCUUGAAUAGUUAUAAGAGGUCCAGCCUGCCCAGUGACUUUGUUCAACGGCCGCGGUAUCCUAACCGUGCGAAGGUAGCGUAAUCACUUGUUCUUUAAAUAAGGACUUGUAUGAAUGGCAUCACGAAGGUUAUACUGUCUCCUUUUUCUAAUCAGUGAAACUAAUCUUCCCGUGAAGAAGCGGGAAUUAAAAUAUAAGACGAGAAGACCCUAUGGAGCUUUAAACUAACUAACAUUUACUUCAAUUUAUCUAAACUUCAGAGCUACAAAGAACACCCGAGUAAAAUGAUUACUAGUUUUGGGUUGGGGUGACCUUGGAGUAAAACAUAACCUCCACGUCGAAAAUUGUAACAGUUUAAGCCAAGAGUUACAACUCUAAGCAUCAAGACCUUGACGUCAAUUGACCCAAUAUUUGAUCAACGAACCAAGUUACCCUAGGGAUAACAGCGCAAUCCACUUCAAGAGCUCCUAUCGACAAGUGGGUUUACGACCUCGAUGUUGGAUCAGGGUAUCCCAGUGGUGCAGCCGCUACUAAUGGUUCGUUUGUUCAACGAUUAAAACCCU